UGAUUACCUUCAAGACAGUCCAGGCCCAAAGUGGCCCAAAGACCUGCAAGCAGGGGCUGUGUGAAAGAUGAAGAGGGUAUACAUCAGGCUGCACACAAAAUCCAAAAGAAAUAAUGAAACCGGAGCCUUGUUUAUCUCUUUAAUGUUGAACAACCAGCAUUGAGAGGCAGUUGUUGUCAUCAACUAAGCAAGUUCCUCAUUUGACGUGUGAAAGCCAUUCCUGUGGUAGAAUUUAACCAUUACUGUGUGUAUGUCUCCAGAUUUCCAUAAGAGAAAUGUACCUUCUUCAGGUCAGUACUGUAUUCAAUACUUGUAAUACUUGUGUGUAAAGUUCUCAACUAACACAUCUCCUUCUGUAUUAGCCUCCAAAGCAUGGUAGAUUUCUUUUUUCAGAUUGAAUAUUUUUCUGAUUUAUCAGCCACAUGGUGGAAGGGGACAUUUACACCCUGAUGCCUCUACAAUCAAUCAUUAAACAAUCUGUUUUCCUCCCACUCGAAGUUGGAGCCCUCAGUAAAAGCUAACCACUCUUUCCAGCCUCACAUGCUCUUCAGAUAGAAUGGACAGUUUUGUCUCUCCUUCAUCCACAUCCCCGAGGGAAAUGUCUGUCACAUUGUGACUCAGACUCAUUGUGGAUUAGCCUGUAACUAUGCCUGUUAGAGCCUGAGUUUGAUUUCUAAACCAAAAAAAGGUCAAGUAAAGCAUCUAUGUCUAAAAGUCAGUUUGCCAUCAGAGACCUUCUUCCCAACCAAUUGUCCAAGCUAGAAAGCCUUAAUGAUGCCUUGGAUGUUCACCAGGCUCGGGAUACAAAUGUACAAUUGUGUGAUGCAAUCCCCAGGGACAACAAUCUUCUUGAUUGCAAUGGAGUUAACCAGUACACAGUCUGCUCAAUCAUUAGAGCCCGUCAGUAGGAGUCUUUAUUUCCUUCAGUGUAAAUAGUUUACUGUAUCCUUAACAUCCUCAUCUGAACACUGUAAUCAAGGUGAUAUAUGUUU
Molecule: long non-coding RNA, 992 nt
Organism: Dipodomys spectabilis (banner-tailed kangaroo rat)
Lineage: Eukaryota; Metazoa; Chordata; Mammalia; Rodentia; Heteromyidae
Exons: 2
Source: RefSeq, a predicted model, not a curated record